This 504-nucleotide ribosomal RNA is filed under the name uncultured bacterium. Its description in RNAcentral is "partial 16S ribosomal RNA". It matches the Rfam family "Bacterial small subunit ribosomal RNA", at positions 28 to 506 of the family's 1533-position model. The record is from RNAcentral.
GACGAACGCUGGCGGCGUGCCUAAUACAUGCAAGUAGAACGCACAGUUUAUACCGUAGCUUGCUACACCAUAGACUGUGAGUUGCGAACGGGUGAGUAACGCGUAGGUAACCUGCCUGGUAGCGGGGGAUAACUAUUGGAAACGAUAGCUAAUACCGCAUAAUAUUAAUUAUUGCAUGAUAAUUAAUUGAAAGGUGCAAUUGCACCACUACCAGAUGGACCUGCGUUGUAUUAGCUAGUAGGUGAGGUAACGGCUCACCUAGGCGACGAUACAUAGCCGACCUGAGAGGGUGAUCGGCCACACUGGGACUGAGACACGGCCCAGACUCCUACGGGAGGCAGCAGUAGGGAAUCUUCGGCAAUGGACGAAAGUCUGACCGAGCAACGCCGCGUGAGUGAAGAAGGUUUUCGGAUCGUAAAGCUCUGUUGUAAGAGAAGAACGGGUGUGAGAGUGGAAAGUUCACACUGUGACGGUACCUUACCAGAAAAGGACGGCUAACUACGU